AAACCAACAGGGAUUACCUCAGUAACGGCGAGUGAAGCGGUAACAGCUCAAAUUUGAAAUCUGGCUCUUGGGCCCGAGUUGUAAUUUGUAGAAGAUGCUUUGGGUGUGGCUCCGGUCUAAGUUCCUUGGAACAGGACGUCAUAGAGGGUGAGAAUCCCGUACGUGACUGGUCGCCUUCGCCCGUGUAAAGCUCUUUCGACGAGUCGAGUUGUUUGGGAAUGCAGCUCAAAAUGGGUGGUAUAUUUCAUCUAAAGCUAAAUAUUGGCCAGAGACCGAUAGCGCACAAGUAGAGUGAUCGAAAGAUGAAAAGCACUUUGGAAAGAGAGUUAAACAGUACGUGAAAUUGUUGAAAGGGAAGCGCUUGCAACCAGACUUGCAGGCUGUUGAUCAUCCGGGGUUCUCCCCGGUGCACUCGGCAGCUUUCAGGCCAGCAUCGGUUUGGGUGGUGGGAUAAAGGCCUUGGGAAUGUGGCUCUCUUCGGGGAGUGUUAUAGCCCAAGGUGCAAUGCCGCCUACCUGGACCGAGGACCGCGCUUCGGCUAGGAUGCUGGCGUAAUGGUUGUAAGCGAC
RNAcentral lists this ribosomal RNA (569 nucleotides) under Arachnopeziza obtusipila. Its description in RNAcentral is "partial 28S ribosomal RNA". It matches the Rfam family "Eukaryotic large subunit ribosomal RNA", at positions 62 to 648 of the family's 3401-position model. Lineage: Eukaryota; Fungi; Ascomycota; Leotiomycetes; Helotiales; Arachnopezizaceae. The record is from RNAcentral.